RNAcentral lists this ribosomal RNA (171 nucleotides) under Triticum aestivum (bread wheat). RNAcentral describes it as "partial small subunit ribosomal RNA". Lineage: Eukaryota; Viridiplantae; Streptophyta; Magnoliopsida; Poales; Poaceae. The record is from RNAcentral.
AUGAAAACGAGGGAAUGUCCACAAUACCCGGAUUUAGUCAGAUCCAAUUCGAGGGAUUUUGUAAGUUCAUUAAUCAAGCCUUGGCAAAAGAACUUGACAAGUUUCCAACAAUUAAAGAUCCAGAUCACGAAAUUGCAUUUCAAUUAUUUGCAAAAGGAUAUCAAUUGCUAG